CUUUCUUGUUCACUCUUCUUCUUCGAAAAGCAUCGCCACUGCCUCACAUUUUUACUUCAGUCUUUCAAUUCAAAUCGAAGUACCACACAACAAGCAACAACGCAAGAUUCAACAUAGUAAACACUAAUUCAAAGUUCAGUUAUGGAAAUGUUUGCGUGCUGUGUGCAUGAUCGUUGGAUUUGAAUUGAAAAAGAUAGAAAGUCUUCGAGUUGAAAAACAAAGGUUCAUUUAUUACCUUGUCUAACGAAACAGGGUCUUGAGACUUCAACCUGGGCACAAGUAUUGCUUGUUGGUAGCAGAAGUAAAGAGGUUACUUCUUGGAUUCUAACACAUCUCCAAGCAUUCUCGAUUCGUGCAGUUCAACUUAUCUCUUGUUUGCUCAUGCUAACGUAAGACUCUGGUUGAGAAUGCAUAAAACACGUAGUUUAUGAAGAUGGUAUUGUAUGGAAGGAAUGGUUAGUUAUAUCCUUCCUGUAUUCAGUUGAUCCCAGUGGGAUUUUGCUGAGGGUGAUGACUUAUGACUUAUUGAAACUGGAUGUACACGGGUUUCGAAGUUGGCACAGGUCAUGGAAAAGGUGUUUGUUUUGUUGCUUGAUGAGUUACAAAAAUUGGGUGCGAAAAUCAGAUUAACAGACUUCUCGAGGAUAAGCAUAGAGACUGGAGUCAGAUCUAUCUAGUGCUUAAGCUUACAGCAGCUGUUUAUUAAAAACACUGCAAACCAGAAAGAAAGAACCAGUGGGCAUGAGAUGAUCCAGCAUUCAUUGUUAUUUGCAGCCUCCUUUUCAUUGUUGCAACUUCGGCUUAUUGUGGUUCAGCCAUAGCGUGGGACAUGCUAUUUACACAUUUCUUUCAGUAUUGAUUUUUCAUUUCUUAAUAACUGGAGCGAUUCUGGCAACAUGUUUCUGGUAAGAUGUAACACCAAUGAAUAUAUAUGAGUUUCGAACUAUGAUCCAGUUUGCACAUUUAGUUCCAUGAUUAUAGCAGAUAAGGGGACCAAUUUUUCUAUAAAAUUCCAUGGAAGCUAUUUGUAUUGGCUGGCUGUGCAUGUUUCUUACGAAUUCAUAUCUUCACGAAGAGUCUCCUAACAGUCAUGUGAUUGAACAAUGAGUGGAAUGUAAAGCAUUGGAACAAUUCCUGCAAGAUCUCUCUGUGACAGGGUGUAUGAUGUUACCUUUCGUUGAGGAGUUAAAGACCAUGAGUUCUUUGUAUUUGUAAGUGGAAAUUAUCAUUUAGUUUCAAAUUAUCAUCUUCGCACGCCAUGGUUAUAUUUCUUAGAGAAUAUAAUACAAAAAAAUAGAAAACACAAAUUGGUGGUUUGUUUAUUUAUAGCUUAUGUUUCCUCCUCUUCUGUAUUUGUGUUUCUGCAACGAGUGUAUAUA
Papaver somniferum (opium poppy) is the source of this 1379-nucleotide long non-coding RNA. RefSeq lists it as uncharacterized. The record is from RefSeq and is a predicted model, not a curated record. Lineage: Eukaryota; Viridiplantae; Streptophyta; Magnoliopsida; Ranunculales; Papaveraceae. The transcript is spliced from 8 exons.